CCUACGGGUGGCAGCAGUGAGGAAUAUUGGUCAAUGGACGAGAGUCUGAACCAGCCAAGUAGCGUGAAGGAUGACUGCCCUAUGGGUUGUAAACUUCUUUUAUAUGGGAAUAAAAUGAUCCUCGUGUGGGUUUUUGUAUGUACUUUAUGAAUAAGCAUCGGCUAACUCCGUGCCAGCAGCCGCGGUAAUACGGAGGAUCCGAGCGUUAUCCGGAUUUAUUGGGUUUAAAGGGAGCGUAGGUGGGUUGUUAAGUCAGUUGUGAAAGUUUGCGGCUCAACCGUAAGAUUGCAGUUGAAACUGGCAGUCUUGAGUACAGGAGAGGUAGGCGGAAUUCGUGGUGUAGCGGUGAAAUGCUUAGAUAUCGCGAAGAACUCCGAUUGCGAAGGCAGCUCACUGGACUGGAACUGACACUGAGGCUCGAAAGUGUGGGUAUCAAACAGGAUUAGAUACCCCAGUAGUC
This 460-nucleotide ribosomal RNA is filed under the name uncultured bacterium. RNAcentral's name for it is "partial 16S ribosomal RNA". It matches the Rfam family "Bacterial small subunit ribosomal RNA", at positions 338 to 795 of the family's 1533-position model. The record is from RNAcentral.